UGGGCAACCUGCCCCAGACUCAGGGAUAACCCCGGGAAACCGGGGCUAAUACCCGAUACUCCGAUCGAACCACAUGGCUUGAUCGGGAAAGCUCCGACGGUCUGGGAUGGGCCCGCGUCUGAUUAGCUAGUUGGUAGGGUAAUGGCCUACCAAGGCUACGAUCAGUAGCUGGUCUGAGAGGAUGAUCAGCCACAUUGGAACUGAGACACGGUCCAGACUCCUACGGGAGCAG
This 232-nucleotide ribosomal RNA is filed under the name uncultured bacterium. Its description in RNAcentral is "partial 16S ribosomal RNA". It matches the Rfam family "Bacterial small subunit ribosomal RNA", at positions 118 to 347 of the family's 1533-position model. The record is from RNAcentral.